This is a long non-coding RNA of Mytilus californianus (California mussel), 1815 nucleotides long. RefSeq lists it as uncharacterized. The transcript is spliced from 2 exons. Lineage: Eukaryota; Metazoa; Mollusca; Bivalvia; Mytilida; Mytilidae. The record is from RefSeq and is a predicted model, not a curated record.
UUUUAGAUAUUACUAUAAAAUGUUGCUGAUGCUGAUUAAGGAUUUUGUUUAUUUUUAGCCAUGACUAUGAUGUCAUUUUCUAUUUUAAUACCUUUAUGAUGUAAUUUCCAUUUUUAGAUAUUACUGUUAAAUGAUGCUGAUUAAGGGUUUUUUGCUAUGUUUAGCCAUGACUAUGAUGUCAUUUUCUAUUUUAAUAUCUUUAUGAUGUAUUUAAAUGGGCUUUUAUGGUUACAAAGGAAUUUUAUUUUUAUACGACCGCAAAAAAAUUUUUGUGGUCGUAUAUUGGUAUGACGUUGGCGUCGUCGUCGUCGUCGUCGUCCGAAUACACAUUAGUUUUCGCACUCUAACUUUAGUUUAAGUGAAUGGAUCUCAUUGAAAUUUUACCAUAAGGUUCAAUACCACAAAAGGAAGGUGGGGAUUGAUUUUGGGGGUUAUGGUACUAACAGUUAAGGAAUUAGGGGCCAAAAGGGGCCAAAAAUAAGCAUUUUUGUAACUUCCAGACAUAACUUGUGUGUAAGUGUAUGGAUCUCUCUGAUAUUGUACCACAAGGUUCCAUAUCACAAAGGGAAUGCUGGGAUUGAUUUUGGGGGUAAUUGUCUCCAAAUUUUAGGAAUUAGGGGCCAAAAAGGGGCAAAAAACAAGCAUUUUUCUAGUUUCAUGACAAUAACUUGUUUGUAAGUGUAUGGAUCUUUAUGAAAUUGUACUACAAGGUUCCAUAUCACAAAGGGAAGGCUGGGAUUGAUUUUGGGGGUUUUCCCUCAAAAUUUUAGUAAUUAGGGGCCAUAAAAGGGCAAAAAAAACAUGCAUUUUUCUAGUUUCAGGACAAUAACUUGUGUGUAAGUGUAUGGAUCUUUAUGAAAUUGUACUGCAAGGUUCCAUAUCACAAAGAGAAAGCUGGAAUUGAGUUUGGGGGUAAUUGCCCUAAACGUUUAGGGAUUUGGGGCCAAAAAACAAGCAUUUUUCUAAUUUCCAGACAAUAACUUGUGUUCAAGUGUAUGAAUCUCUCUGAAAUUGUACUGCAAGGUACCAUACCACAAAGGGAAAGCUGGGAUUGAGUUUGGGGGCGAUGAAUCAUAAGGGGGUUCAAAAAAUUGGGGGGGGGGGGAUUUUUUUUUUCCUUUUUUUUCUUUAACAUUUUCCAUUUUAAAUUGGUUAUUUCUGAUUAUAUAUAAAAGCAAAUAAUAAUGAUAUGGUUUGAAUAGGCAUACAUGUGAACCUCCCGACGGGAGUACAAUAAUCCCGUUUUCAGGGGUCUCCUCCCCCCCUCUCGUUGAAAAAAUCCCGUGUAUGAAAUUUUUCAUGAAUGAAAAAUUUCUGCCCAACAUAACAUCUCAGGCAUCUGGUGUAACUGACAUUACCUGAAGUUAUAUUUUACCUGUAAAUCAAUUAACAUGCAUAAUUAUAUGGCUUCACUUGUCAGCUUGGGUGUCAAACAUACUGGUAAGCAACGAUUUUUACCUCAGGCUAACUGCCGUUGUGUAACAAAAACUGUGUAUUUAUUGGGUUACUUCCCUUGAUUUAUCCUGUUUUAAGUUACUUUCCUUUUAAUAAUGAAAAUUUUUAAAAGAAUAUAAAUAAAAUAUAAAUUGAACAAAUAAUCAUAAAAGGAUGGUUAUUAAAUGAUUUUAAAUGUCUUAGGACAAAUAAAAAAAUAAUAAUUUGAAAAUUAUUUGAGGAUUCUAUACUUCCUUUUAAGGCUUAAAUUGAAAUUUAUAUAAUAACUAUGACCCUAUCUUUACAGAUAGAAUGAAUUUCUGAGUUUGCAAAUAAAAACUAUUUGCAAGAGAAAAAAAAAAAAAAUAAAAACUAUUUGCA